AGCUCAAUGGUAGAGCACUUGCCUUGUCAUGCAAGAGGGCCUGGGUUCAAUCUCCCAG
Molecule: non-coding RNA, 58 nt
Organism: Fukomys damarensis (Damara mole-rat)
Lineage: Eukaryota; Metazoa; Chordata; Mammalia; Rodentia; Bathyergidae
Source: Rfam